GUGAUUGUAAACCAAAGACGCUCCACGCAUCGUGAGCAACUCAUCAUGAGAAUAUGGCGGCUGCGGCUGCGGGUGAUCUACUUUACUUCUAACCGCUCCUGCCGCGGUUGAGGAUGAGGUAAACAAAGUGAGGUCUAACGAAUUUUCUCUUCCACUUGCGUUUUUGCUACAACAACGUUGGAGCUUAUAUGAUGAUGUCCCGUUGUUGUUUUUCUCAGGGCCUACACCUAAGCGGAGCCAAGAUUUGUCUCUGUUACCGUCUUCUAGGUUAGUAGAAGCAACGACGUCGUUCUUGGAGGCGGAUCCGUCGUCUUCGUUGGCCGGAUUAUAAUAAUAUUCAUU
Molecule: long non-coding RNA, 342 nt
Filed under: Brassica napus (rape)
Lineage: Eukaryota; Viridiplantae; Streptophyta; Magnoliopsida; Brassicales; Brassicaceae
Description: long non-coding RNA (BNAP_LNC007120)
Source: RNAcentral